GAUGAACGCUAGCGGCAGGCCUAAUACAUGCAAGUCGAACGAGAUUAAGAGGCUUGCUUCUUAUGAAAGUGGCGCACGGGUGCGUAACGCGUAUGCAACCUACCUUAAUCAGGGGGAUAGCCCGAAGAAAUUCGGAUUAAGACCGCAUAAAAACACAGGAUAGCAUUAUCCAAUGUUCAAAUAUUUAUAGGAUUAAGAUGGGCAUGCGUGUCAUUAGCUAGUUGGCGGGGUAACGGCCCACCAAGGCGACGAUGACUAGGGGAUCUGAGAGGAUGACCCCCCACACCGGUACUGAGACACGGACCAGACUCCUACGGGAGGCAGCAGUAAGGAAUAUUGGUCAAUGGAGGGAACUCUGAACCAGCCAUGCCGCGUGCAGGAAGACAGCCCUCUGGGUCGUAAACUGCUUUUAUUCGGGAAUAAACCUUUCUACGUGUAGGAAGCUGAAUGUACCGAAGGAAUAAGGAUCGGCUAACUCCGUG
Molecule: ribosomal RNA, 482 nt
Filed under: uncultured bacterium
Lineage: Bacteria
Description: partial 16S ribosomal RNA
Rfam family: Bacterial small subunit ribosomal RNA
Source: RNAcentral